Molecule: long non-coding RNA, 1367 nt
Organism: Pongo pygmaeus (Bornean orangutan)
Lineage: Eukaryota; Metazoa; Chordata; Mammalia; Primates; Hominidae
Exons: 4
Source: RefSeq, a predicted model, not a curated record
ACUUCGGCGGGAGGAAGGAAGCACCUAAGGCGCUGGGGGCGGAAACGCUGAGGUGGAGGGGUGCGCCUCAGGCGAGAGCUGGCCGGCGCCGACUGGGCCUGGGGCAGCGGCCGCAGCUCCCCGCCCGGGACCGCGCACAAAGGCCUGAGGUCCGGGCCGCACUCACCGAAGUCCAGGAACUGCCUCAUGGAGAGCGGGGACGGCGAGAAGCGCGCGUAGAAGUCCACCUGGCCCGGAACGCCGCGCUCGGACGCCGGGCUGGAGUCCGAGUCCGAGCUGAAGCUGCGGCUGGGGCCGGCGGCGCGCAGCCCCGGGCCCGGGCCGGCCAAGGCGGCUCCGCGAAGCAGCCGCGCCAGCCUCAUGCCGAGUCCCGCUAGAGAAGCCACAGCCCGGGCUCCAGGUUUCCCCGCUCCUCUGCCGAGUGGGUUGAAGGCAAAUACUUGAAGUUGCAAUCCAAGGUCAGGAAAAAGGAAUCAAGAGGUCACAAUCCUUCUCUGAUGAUGGCUCAGAAAGCUGGAAGACACUCAACAUUGAAUCCUGGGGCUCCGUGCCAUGCUUGCUAGGAGAAACAGCCACCGUGAGUCCAUGUUUCAGAUCUCAAGUGAACAGUCAUUCUCCAGCUGGGAUUGAGAACAAGGGGAAGCUGGCCAUAGAGCCAGAUGGCCAAAGAUGGAAGACAAAGGGUGGGCUGUGAUUCCCAGAGCUCCAAGCCUUGAUCUGUCUUGUCACACCAACUGUUACUGAUGAACAGCUUGCAGUGCCAGUACCUGAAGACAGUUUUCUCCGUAACGGGGCUAUGAGGGAAAUGAGCACCAAAGCACAUGACUUCAGGACAUGAGUGUGGGGUACAUGGAAAAGAGACAUGUCCUGAACCUGAAUGAAGCUGGGGAUGAAGCUGGGGAACCUUUCACCUGAGUGCCUGCAUUUGGCAGCCUGAUAUUUUCAGCAGCAGCAGUCACAUCAAUGAAGGCUCGCAUGAGAAUGUCCAAGUAGUUCAGUUUGGAAUAUUCCUGUUUGGAGACAGUUAGUGAAUGCAUUAGGGAAGUGAAAAGUGUCCUAGGCAAAGGCAAAUUACUUCCAUGGGACAGCCUCACGCCAAGGUCAUACCUCUAGAAAUGUGCCAUUCCAUAACCUCGAGCGCAAAAUAAGAGACGCCUUGCUGUCCAGCCCUCGCAGUGGGCAUCUGAUGUUCACACAGUUCACGUUCACGCUACAGUUCUAGAGAGAAAAGGAAGAAUGGUCAUCAAAAGACAUCGUUCUGAAGAAGUCCUUCCCCUCAUCCUCUCAAAUAUUCACAGCUCUUGAAAAAUACUUACAAGAGUCUGGUAUUUUCUUUCAGCAAAUAAAGAAAAUUUUCUGUUAUCGUC